Molecule: long non-coding RNA, 433 nt
Organism: Alosa alosa (allis shad)
Lineage: Eukaryota; Metazoa; Chordata; Actinopteri; Clupeiformes; Clupeidae
Exons: 2
Source: RefSeq, a predicted model, not a curated record
CAACCUGUGGGCUGGCGGACGCGCCUGACCCCAUGAGCCACUCCACCUCCAGACCAAGGGAGGCCAGGUCGCCAGCCACGGAGCAGAUAACUGUGACGGUAAGACAGAGAAGGCAGCGAUGACCAGAGACCUUGACCUCAUACCCCAUACCCAGCAGUUAUUGUGAUGCUUCCCUAAACAAUGAAGCCACUUCCUUCACUACAUCUGAGAGAGUCUGAAUGGAGAGGACACCCAGAAAGAGCUGAAGUCUGAAGUGACUUCCCUUCAAACUGGACGUCCACAAAACACUCCCACAACACUCUUCUAGAAAAUGAAUUGGAGUCUUUCCAUGUAAAAACGAAAUGCUGGUGUGUUUUAUAACACAGUAGAUGUGCUUCUUGUUUGGUUACUUUUUUGAUCAUUUCAAGCAAUAAAACCACCCACUGAUGAUGCA